Molecule: transfer RNA, 137 nt
Filed under: Clostridia bacterium
Lineage: Bacteria; Bacillati; Bacillota; Clostridia
Description: tRNA-OTHER
Source: RNAcentral
GCAAUAAAGCGGUCACUAAUUGGCUGAAAUUUGCGGAAAUUAGGGACGUAGAGGGACGUGGAGAGAUGCUUUUUACAGCUUCUCGAAAUCAGUUUGCGCUCACGCGCACGAGGGUUCGAAUCCCUCUCUCUGCGCCA